RNAcentral lists this long non-coding RNA (750 nucleotides) under Rattus norvegicus (Norway rat). RNAcentral describes it as "long non-coding RNA NONRATT006989". The record is from RNAcentral. Lineage: Eukaryota; Metazoa; Chordata; Mammalia; Rodentia; Muridae.
UAUUGCAUUAGAGCAGGUCCCUAGGGUGCUUCUAUUCUGAAUUCUGAGUUUUCAGCCAACAACUUGGUGGGACUUUUGUUGUUCUGCAAAUUUCCACCACACUUCAGAAGCACAUCGGUUUUUACCAGCUGAGUUUUAACUAGAUGUGAAUUCUGUGAGGCAAACAGUUCUCCUAUCCACUGCUGGAGGCAGCUUUCUCUCCUUGGAUGAUUUAAUAAAUAGGAGGGUUGACCACAGGAAAGUGUCUCAAGCUCUUGUGAAACAGGGCCCUGUUGUGCCCUUCCUUCCUGGGUGACAUAGUUGGAAAUGGUUGCUGUGGAGACAAGCCUCCCCAGAAAUCAGUUUAUGCCUGUUCUACCUUCAUUUCUCACCCAGGUGUGGUGAUUUAAAUAAACUCUUUGGUAGGAUUAGAAGGAUUAGGAAGCCUUGCUGCACUUUCAAAAACCCAAGGCCAGGCUAGUCUCCACACCAACCCCCCUGCCCCCAAUGGAUUAGCAUGUAGAACUCUUAGUACUGUGUCUGCCUGCCUGCCACUAUGCUCCCAACCAAGAUGAUAAUGGACUAACCUCUGAAAUGCAAUAGAACAGUGACUGACCCCUGGCAAGUUUCAGGCUUCAGGAAAAGGCUGAAGAAAGAGUGUUCUGCAGUAGAAAUGGGGACAGAACCUGUUGAUGCUUCGGUCUGGGUAGCUUGAAGACUCCAUUCUGAGUGCAGAAUUCAGCACCUAUGAAGAUUUGAGGGGAAAUGAUG